UUGUAUACCCUGUUGCUUUGGCGGGCCCACUGGGAAUCCCCAGUCGCCGAGGGGCACUGUGCCCCUGGGCCCGUGCCCGCCAGAGCGCCCUUGAACCCUAAUGAAGAUGGACUGUCUGAGCAUGAUUGAUAAUAAUCAAAACUUUCAACAAUGGAUCUCUUGGUUCCGGCAUCGAUGAAGAACGCAGCGAAAUGCGAUAAGUAAUGUGAAUUGCAGAAUUCCGUGAAUCAUCGAAUCUUUGAACGCACAUUGCGCCCCCUGGCAUUCCGGGGGGCAUGCCUGUCCGAGCGUCAUUUCUGCCCUCAAGCACGGCUUGUGUGUUGGGUGUGGUCCCCCCUGGGGACCUGCCUGAAAGGCCCCCCGGACGCCCGCCCAUGUCCUCGAGCGUAUGGGGCUUUGUCACCCGCUCGGGAAAGAUCUACGGGUGUUGUUC
RNAcentral lists this unclassified non-coding RNA (433 nucleotides) under Talaromyces catalonicus. Its description in RNAcentral is "Talaromyces sp. 11 MGS-2017 sequence contains ITS1, 5.8S rRNA gene, ITS2, 28S rRNA gene". The stretch from base 140 to 293 matches the Rfam family "5.8S ribosomal RNA". The record is from RNAcentral. Lineage: Eukaryota; Fungi; Ascomycota; Eurotiomycetes; Eurotiales; Trichocomaceae.